UAAAUCCAACACUAUUUCAUAUUCAAAUCAAGAAAACUCCAAGUCGAAUUAAAAUCAUCCAUCAUAUAACAUCACAUAAUACAUCUCCCAGGUUUACAUAACACAAUAACUUAUCUCAUGAAUACAUUUUCUUACACAGGAAUAUAGCAAGAACGGACAGAAUUGCACAAUAGAACAAUGACACAUCUGCUAACAAUGAGACAUAGGUUCAGAAAUUUUUAUGUUGUGUUGAUUUGAAUGUCCCAAGUAUGCAUCAUCGACAUCUUCUCACCACUUUCCUAGCAAGAGAAAAAGAGACAAAACAAAAAACAUUAGACCGUAACAUUACAUGAGAGCAUAGAUCAGUAACUUCAAAUCACAAAAUAUAUCCAUUAUACUAGAUGUCAGAGUUGUAUAAAAGUUGCUAGUUAUAAAAAAACAUGGAGCUACCAAAUUAGCAGAAAAUUAGCUCACACUAAAUUUGCCUUUGUGGAGCAUAUGAAAUUGCAGUGAGUUCCUAUCAAGGAUGCUUGCAGUAAUUGUAACUGUUCUGGAGGUGAUAACAACACAAUGCUUCGGUUAGAAAAUUCAACUCUAAUUAUGCAGCCAUCUAGUGACAUGUUACACUAUCCAUUUACAGGUGCAGUAGGAGCAGAGGAGGUGUAAUACAGUAGCAGCUAUCUAUCUAUUUUCCAUAAGCAAUACCAGCGAGCGGCAUAGCUCACACUGAAACAGAUUUAGUGCAUGAUGUACUAUGUAACAACAACAUCUAAUAAGCAAAGCAUAUGCACAUCAUGUCACGCCCAUGCCCCAAUCCCCAACACUAGUCCUGUAAUAGUAGGAGCUAGUCCUGCAAUACUCAGACAACAAGAAAUCAAUUGUGAAUGGUCGUGUCAUCUACAAACUACCACUUUAACUGCAUCCCUUAGAAUCCUGACAAUACAGCCCACCAUUACUCUUAUAUACAAAGAAAAAUCCUAAGAAACUGAUUUCAUAAUGUCCAUCCAUGAUUUUAUAUAUAACACAAACAUUGUAGAAAAGGUACACAACAGAUAGAGCACCAUGACCCAGAUAUGACUAGCAGCCAUAUGCCAACUUACAGGUGCGCAUCGAAGCGGGAGUCGAGCAGCGCCGGGAUGGCGUCCUCCUCCGGGUCAUCGUACAGGUGUGCGUCCGUGCCCAUCCGUCCCACCACCCACGACGCCGCUCGCGCGCAUCCCGAACAUCCCUCCCUCUAGGCUGCAAACAUAUAGCAGACGUGUAACGCAGCAGCAUCUGCU
Molecule: long non-coding RNA, 1259 nt
Filed under: Hordeum vulgare
Lineage: Eukaryota; Viridiplantae; Streptophyta; Magnoliopsida; Poales; Poaceae
Description: long non-coding RNA (HVUL_LNC009286)
Source: RNAcentral